Cinara cedri is the source of this 541-nucleotide non-coding RNA. The record is from the annotation of a GenBank genome assembly. Lineage: Eukaryota; Metazoa; Arthropoda; Insecta; Hemiptera; Aphididae.
UUAUUUAAAAAUGAAUUUUACACUAUUUUACUAUACGAUUUUAAAAUAUACCUACUGUCGAAAAGACAAUAAUUUAAUAACAAUUAACCGACUAUUAUAUUGCAUUGAUUAUAUAACAUAAGUGUACAUGAAAAUGAUCGUUAAAUUUCUUUAAUAAAUAGUUACUUCCCGUUGUGUUACAGCCGUUGUAGGUAUAAAAUGAGAUAUUUUUAAUUGAUCGACCGACCGACGACCUUCAUAUUAUUUUAUUGGAUUUUGUGUCGCACGGGAGAACGAAUUCAUGAUCCCAGAUUUCCAGGUGUACGAGUUAAAUGGGAAUAAUGAACGUCUAUGUUUCUAACCAACUGAACAGGGUAAGCGUGGCCGGGCGAUUUCCACCAAAGUGUAACUUCCUCUUUUUCACAAAAACCAUGUUAUUUACCUCACUAUUGAUUCAAUAAAUGUUUAGCGACCUAAAUACCUAAAUAAUGAAAAAUUGAUCAUGCAACCCGGCAUAGGUAUAAUAUUAUUAUAAACAAUAUACAUACUAUAAGUUAGAAAA